Non-coding RNA from Camellia sinensis, 814 nucleotides. The record is from RefSeq and is a predicted model, not a curated record. Lineage: Eukaryota; Viridiplantae; Streptophyta; Magnoliopsida; Ericales; Theaceae.
UUUUCUAGAAUGACCAUCAAAGAAGUUGGUUUAUCUGAUGCUGCAUUGGACGCACUGGCAUAGUGUUUUUCCCAAAAAAAACCUUCUGAAAUCAAGAGAUAUGAAUCACCAUCAAACAUCUCAUACAGGAGAGAUAUAGGAAGUUCUUAGUAAGGGAGAGAAUUUUGUGGAGGGCCCUGGGAAUUCAUUUCUUGAUAAAGAUCUUGAAGCAGCUCUUGAUUCUUUUGACAACCUGUUUUGUUGUCAAUGUCUUCUCUUUGAUUAUAAGCUACAUGGAUGUUCCCAGGAUCUUGUCUUUCCAGCUGAGAAACAACUUCCAUGGAGCUUUCCAGAAGAGGAAAAUAUACCAUGUGGUCUGCAUUGCUAUAAACUAGGAAUGGUGACUAUUUAAAAUAACAUUCAGUAGCUUGAACUUCUCAUAUUUAUUUUUGUUAUCUAUUCAUUGCACAUCUUUUAUUGGCUUUGUUUAUAUUAUUAUUAUGUUUUACGAUUGGCAGAGACCAAGAGAAUUGAAGGCCAUGGGAAGCAGCAUGGAGAGUGAUUCAGAAUGACGGUGAAUGAUGGAUGGGGGUUGGGUGUUUUGGUUUACUUUCUUCUUAUUUUUAGUGUUAAAAUCCUUUGGAUUUUUAUUUCUCUUCUUUUUUUCUUUUUUUCCUCUGAUCUAACUGGGGGGUUGGGUGUUUUGGUUCACUUUCUUCUUAUUUUUUGUGUUAAAUGGGGGAGUGGUGAGAGAGAGAAGAGGGUAAUGUUAUUUUGUAGCUUUGUAUUCAAUUUUUGGAUAUGUUAUUUUGUGGGUAAUGUGUAUUAAAUUGAA